Molecule: long non-coding RNA, 4957 nt
Organism: Acinonyx jubatus (cheetah)
Lineage: Eukaryota; Metazoa; Chordata; Mammalia; Carnivora; Felidae
Exons: 6
Source: RefSeq, a predicted model, not a curated record
CCAAAGUGACUCACUCAUCUGGCUGGCAAGCUGGCACUGACUGAUGACUGGGAGUUCAACUGGGAUUGUUGGCCAAGGGGUAUGGUUCUUCUCUAUGUGGCUUCCUGGGCUUCCUCGUAGCAUGGAGGCUAGGUGCCAACAGAGAGGAAGAGGAAGGUGCCAGUCCUCUUAAAGGAUGGGCCCAGGACCAGCAGAGUCCCUUCCAGCACACACGGUUGGGUAAGCAGUCACAAGCUAGCUUAGAUUCAAGGGGUAGAGUAAUAGAUUCCUCUUCUUGAUAGCUGGGUGGGCGUGCAUAUAAAGGAAGGGCAGGAAUGGAUGGUGGUCAUUUUCGGAGAGGGCAACCAAACCACAAGACCUCUGGAGUUGAGGGGGUGUGUGGAACCUGGUAGCUGUUGCCUUUUCUGGAGUAGGACGGGCAGUUGCACUGAUUCAGGGCUUUGGGGGCAGAGCCAGGAGCUUGCUGGUGUCUUAGGAUCAUUCUGGACUUCACUGGAGCCAAGAGAAGUGUGAGUGUUUCCCAAGGAUCAGAAGUGGACUAAGCAGAGGAGUGAGCCCAUGGGGCCUGAGCAAGAAGCUCGAAGUAAGAUAUCAUGAGUGGCCACCCAGAAAACAGAUGCAUCAUGUGGAUCGAGGGAACUAUGGGAGGAAGGUCCUAAGUGUGGGAGUCUUGAGCAAUCCAUAAAAGCAUACAUAACAGAAAUUCUGCUCUAACCCUGUCUGCCCUGAGAGUACAAAGCUGCCAUGUAGCAUGUGACUAGGCCCCUUACCUCCUCUCCUGCCCUUUCCCCUCAUCUGGUGAUGAUGGGAACAGCCACUGUGAGGUGGGGACAUGAGGGGAACUGGUUGAAGGAAGAAGGCUUUCCCAGAGACGCACCAGCUUCUGUGAGAGGGGAGAGACUCUGUUGUUUGUUUUUUUUUAUGUUUAUUUAUUUAUUUUCAGAGAGAGAGUGUGCACCAGUGGGGGAGGGGCAGAGAGAGAGAGGGAGAGAGAGAAUCCCAAGCAGGCUCUGCUGUCAGGGCAGCAGAGCCCUACAUGGGGCUCGAUCCCAGGAGCCAUGAGAUCGUGACCUGAGCCGAAAUCCAGAGUGAGGCGCUUAACCAACUGAGCCACCCAGGUGCCCCGAGAAGACUCUAUUUUAAAUGAAGACUGAAGAGUGACUAAUAUAUAACCACUGAAUGAUGUUGCCUCUCACAACUAAAGUGACGAUAACUGGGCACACAAAAAUCAUGAGGCCUGCUGAGUUUUCAUCCUGUAGCAGAAGAAACGCUUUCCCCACUGAAUAAAGUUUAAAAGGUAGUGGGAAACCAAAAAAAAAAAAGUUUAUCUAGUCACAAACCAUGCCUGUUCAUCAUACAGGUGCAGUCAAUGAGCGGUGCCCCAGCAGAUCCCAGCCCUGGGUCUGCCACUCCACAGCUGGAAUGGGGCCAUGGUCCCACAGUCCGAAGGCCAUGGUGUGGAGCAGGACAGAGAGCUAAGUGUUGUGCAGGUUGUUUGUCUUAUUGACCUUGCUUUGCUUAGGGGGAGAGAGGCUCACUAGAAAGUUCACUCACAUCCUGGGGAAGGCUUCCAAGGUGGAAAGGAUUUUCAUUUCUCUGCACGGCCUCAGAUCCAGCAGAUAGAGAAACUAUCUACAACGCUGUGGACCUUUUCCCCUGUCCUGGAGGUGUCCUCUGUCUCUUUCUGCCUUGAGUCUUGGGUCUAGAAAUCACUGCACUCAUCUCUCACAGAUAGGUCAUUGGGUAUCUGCACCUAAAGAUCUUAAUAGUGCCUAGAUGCCUGGGCUGCUCUGUGGAAGGCUCUAGUUGUGGAGUCAAACAGACUGGGAGUAGCUGGUAGUAAGGAAAUGCCACAUACAUUGGUAAGAUAUGACCCUGAACUGCCAUGUCCAGUCAUGAGAGCAGACUCUCUUGUUGGUGAGAGAGCAGCUUGGAGCUGGAGCCCAACCUCUCCCCAGUCUCUCCUCAGCUACCCCUGCCUCUCACUCACUGCUCCCCCUUGACGCCCUGUGUCAAGUGUGGAUACAUCACCUUUCUCUCAUGAUCUGGACAGCUGAGAUAUGACUCACCUUUUUAAAUAAGUUUUACCAAAAGCUUAGGACAUACAAAUGAGAAAUGAACACAAAGAGGAAUAUGGAGGCAGCAAUCUGGCUCACAAGGCAGGGCUUACUUUGUGACUUUCUCCAGAGGUUUGUCUCUGACCCGAGGCCUCCCAGCUCCAUAGGGUAGAUACCACCUUAGCCACCCCAAGGUCAGGACAAUGAGGCUUGUGGAAAAAAGUGGAUUCCUCACUCCUGCCUGCCUAGGGCCUCAUUUAAUAAUUAAUUUUCCUGAGUGAAGAACUUUUCACUCCAGAAGAGGGGAUUAGCCCUGGGAAUGACCUCACCUCAAGGAAGUGUGUAUGUUUCAAUUCAUAAUGUUCACAUUAUGUUUCAAUACCAUAACCCCAAGAUUCAUAUAGUAGAGAUUUCUAUAAACACAACAGUAAAGCAUUGAUCUAGAUUUUGUUUAACUCUUGAGUAACCAAUAAAAUCUCCUAGGAUGCCUCCAGUCAUUGGUACCAUUCACCAAAUGUUUGUACUUCAUCUCCUGGCCAUAUUGUAUGCUUUGAAGUUAGGUGCAGGCAUGUGUGAUGGUUUAAAAAUAUCCAUAUGUUCUUUGAUACUCUUCCCUUCAGGAGGUGGGGCUUAGGUUUGCCUAUACGGUAUGUGCUGGAGUUAAUGACUCACUUAGAAUACGUAGAAUAUUCUGGAAGUGAUGUUAUAUGACUCCUGAGACGAGGUCAUAAAAGGUUUUCAGGCUUCCUUCUUGGGUUCUGUCUUGACUUGCUCAUUCCACGGGAAGCCAGCUGCCAUGUCAUGAGAACACUCAAGCAGCACUUUAGAGAGGCCCAUGUGGCAAGGAAUGGUGGCCUGCUGCCAACAACUAGUGUUAAAUUGCCAGGCAUGUUAGUGAGUCACCUUAGGUCCCCCAGCUCCUGUCAACCCUCCAAAUACCUGUGGCCCUGGCAUCUUGACUGCAGCCUCGUGAGAGACCCUAGGCCAGAAACACCCAGCUAAGCUGCUCCCAGAUUCCUGAAUCCCAAAACUGUGUGAGAUCAUAAAUAUUGUUUUCCAUUAAGUUUUGGGGUUAUCUGUCAUACAGCAACACAUAACUAAUACCUUAUGACUUGCUUUGGCCUGUGAUGAUGGACAGAAGUAUUAUUUCCAGGGAGAAGCCUUAAGGACAAGGUAUAAUCCUCUGUGUUCUUGUUCUAGUCAGUUUGCAGCUGGUGGCUGUGUCAUUAGCCUGACCCUGGAGUGAGGACUGUGUCUGGGUCAGGGGCCCAGCAAGGCAAAGAUGACAUGGCAGAAGAGACGUUGAGGAAUGUUUAAAGACAGAACCAUCCACAAGCCUGACAUCCUGCUCACACUUAGCAGAAAGCAACAGGGGAUGGUAAAACAUCUCAGGCCAGUGUUAACACCCCAAAUCUGAAGUGAUGGGAGAGAGAGUAGUGGCCAGAAUCAGGUGAGAGGUGUAGCUGUAGGAGAGGGCUACUUAACAGGACUGUAACCUUGGUAAAGAAACGCAGCUGCUGUCAGCUAAGAACCCUAUAGGGAGGGCCCUGGAGGCAGAAUGCACCCCCCUCCCUUACCUCUUGCUGGUGCCUCCCACUGCCCAACCUGCAUAGUCUUAGGUCUUGGUGUUGCCACUAUUGAUAUGACUCUUUAAAAAUGGUACCAAACAACGGUUCAGUCUUUUAGCUUUUUAGGGAUGCAAUUUGUAGCUUAUUCAUUUUGAUGGUUCAUUGAAAGGAAAUUUUUCUUAGAAUAGUUGCACCACUGAGGCUAUUCUGAAGUUCUUCUAUGGAAGGAGUGGACAGUAUCUGCUUUAGAUACUUUUUCACAAAGAAUUAUUUUCUUCCUUGUAAGAUGGAAUGUCAAGAUGCCUAUUGGCCUCCUCUUGGCCUGCACUUUAAAAGUCUUGCUCAUGGAGAUAGUGGCCUCCAAUUUCAGAACAGUACAUCUUUUCCCAAAAGGCCUUUCAUCCUUCCAUAAAUACAUAUGAUGGCCUGGCCCAGUCCUAAAUCCAGUUAGAGGAUUUGCACAGCAACCUCCCUCCCUCCAGAGCUGUGUUAGCUAAUUCUAGGCUUUGAAGAGUCAGGAGUCUUUGCCAGAGAAAAAGCCAACUGAACGGGACUGAGUUUAUAGGAUGAAUAAGUCAACUGCAAAGUCCUUGGGAUUUGCUUGCUCUCACAGAGAACCUAUGCCAGGUUGGAGUUCUCAAACCUCUCAUUAGAGCCUUGUUAUUCUAGUGAGGUCAGCCCUACCAAGUGUCCACCAUCGAGGCAUCCCUUCCUUGGAACUUCAGCUCCCAGUGAUGCUGAUGUGCAGCCAGAUUUGGGAACCACUCCUCUAGAGUGUUCUAGAUGGCAAGCAGGCCUAAUCUAUCAGAGAGCAAAGAGGAGAUGGAAGCUGGUUUGGAAAUGGCAUCUGUUGAAACGAAUGUCAGCCUGCAAGGAAUUAUACUGCCUGAAGAGGAAUUUAAAUGUCCUGAGCCUGUGCAAGUAUCCGAAGUGACGGAAUGCGAAAGAAAUGGAACCCAUCAGUUUUAGCUGAGUACCAGACUGCCCAGCCAACAGUGGCAUUUUCCAGGUUCCCGUGCAGCAACUGCCUCCAAAUUUAUGUUUCUGACAUUGGAGAUGGAUACUGCUUCUGAGUUCAGAGAGGAUUUGAGCAGACUCUCGGAAAACUGAACCCUGCCAACAAUUGGAACAGUUUGCUAACAGUUUGGAAGGGGAUCACUUUCCAAUCAGGCCUUCAGAUGAGCCCACAGCCUUGGCUAACACCUUAUUGCAGACUUGUAAGAUAUCCUAAAACUCUUCGUGACCCACAGGAAGAGUGAGAUGUUAAACAGGAAUUGUUUUCAGCCACUAAAUUUUGGGGUAAUUGUUCCACAGCUAUAGAUAACUUAUUUA